GCUCCCGGGUGACGAGCGGCGGACGGGUGAGUAAUUGCUGGGAAACUGCCUGAUGGAGGGGGAUAACUACUGGAAACGGUAGCUAAUACCGCAUAACGUCGCAAGACCAAAGAGGGGGACCUUCGGGCCUCUUGCCAUCAGAUGUGCCCAGAUGGGAUUAGCUAGUAGGUGGGGUAACGGCUCACCUAGGCGACGAUCCCUAGCUGGUCUGAGAGGAUGACCAGCCACACUGGGACUGAGACACGGUCCAGACUCCUACGGGAGGCAGCAGUGGGGAAUAUUGCACAAUGGGCGCAAGCCUGAUGCAGCCAUGCCGCGUGUAUGGAGAAGGCCUUCGGGUUGUAAAGUACUUUCAGCGGGGAGGAAGGUGUUGUGGUUAAUAACCACAGCAAUUGACGUUACCCGCAGAAGAAGCACCGGCUAACUCCGUGCCAGCAGCCGCGGUAAUACGGAGGGUGCAAGCGUUAAUCGGAAUUACUGGGCGUAAAGCGCACGCAGGCGGUCUGUCAAGUCGGAUGUGAAAUCCCCGGGCUCAACCUGGGAACUGGAUUCGAAACUGGCAGGCUAAAGUCUUGUAAGGGGGGGUAGAAAUUCCAGGUG
RNAcentral lists this ribosomal RNA (600 nucleotides) under uncultured bacterium. Its description in RNAcentral is "bacterial SSU rRNA". It matches the Rfam family "Bacterial small subunit ribosomal RNA", at positions 80 to 675 of the family's 1533-position model. The record is from RNAcentral.